AGGGUGGGGCUUCCUGUCACAGAGUGUCUGGGCCUUAGCAUGGUUUGUGGGUGAGGCUGAUUGGUUGCAGAAGCAGGAACAGUUCCAGAACCAAGUCAUGACACUCACUGCCCAAGGGUUUAGUUAAAUAUAUGUUGUGAAAAUGUCCCGAGCAACAAGGCAAAGCAUCAUGAAGAGGCUGUUGAGCACUGUGCUGGGGCUUUUGUGCACCCAGGUUUGCUAUGUGAGAGGAGAGCAGGUGGAGCAGAGUCCCCCAACCCUGAGUCUCCAGGAGGGAGCCAAUUCCACACUGCGGUGCAAUUUUUCCACCUCUGGGAGCAACUUGCAGUGGUUUCGCCAAAAUCCUGGGGGCCACCUCAUCAGCCUGUUUCACAUUCCUUCAGGGACAAAGCAGAAUGGAAGAUUAAAGGCUGUGACAGUCGCUAAAGAACGCCACAGCUCACUGUAUAUUUCCUCUUCCCAGACCACAGACUCAGCCAUUUAUUUCUGUACUGUGGAGCCACAGUGCUCCCCAGGCACCUGCAACCUGUACACAAACCCUCAGCUGGGCUCAGCUCCUCCUCCAACCACAAUCACAUCACAAGACCACCACACAGCAUUUCUGCAGCUUAAUAUUCCUAACCCACGUUGGUGGGAUGUUAACCACAGAUACUUCUUGGCCCUACAGGUUUGGGAUUUGGUUUUUAUCUUUCCUUCUCAAUCUACACCUCUUUCUGUACUAUAAACCUUUAGCUUGGAACUAGCAGAGUAGUUGACAAGAGGACAGAACUAAAAUAAAUAUUUAAGCAACAGUAUGCUGGACUCUA
Diceros bicornis minor is the source of this 806-nucleotide non-coding RNA. Lineage: Eukaryota; Metazoa; Chordata; Mammalia; Perissodactyla; Rhinocerotidae. The record is from the annotation of a RefSeq genome assembly.